RNAcentral lists this ribosomal RNA (408 nucleotides) under uncultured bacterium. Its description in RNAcentral is "bacterial SSU rRNA". It matches the Rfam family "Bacterial small subunit ribosomal RNA", at positions 29 to 483 of the family's 1533-position model. The record is from RNAcentral.
AACGAACGCUGGCGGCAGGCUUAACACAUGCAAGUCGAACGCCCCGCAAGGGGAGUGGCAGACGGGUGAGUAACGCGUGGGAAUCUACCCAAUUCUUCGGAACAACACAUGGAAACGUGUGCUAAUACCGAAUGAGCCCUUCGGGGGAAAGAUUUAUCGGAAUUGGAUGAGCCCGCGUUGGAUUAGCUAGUUGGUGGGGUAAAGGCCUACCAAGGCGACGAUCCAUAGCUGGUCUGAGAGGAUGAUCAGCCACACUGGGACUGAGACACGGCCCAGACUCCUACGGGAGGCAGCAGUGGGGAAUAUUGGGCAAUGGGCGCAAGCCUGAUCCAGCCAUGCCGCGUGAGUGAUGAAGGUCUUAGGAUUGUAAAGCUCUUUCACGCGGUGAAGAUAAUGACGGUAACCGAG